UCUGCUCACAUGGCUGGCCAGAGACAAACAAAGAGAGGGGCAAAGCGGAGCUGCAUUCUCAGCCGCGGAAUGCGUGGAAUGCAUGGAAUUUCUACUGAAGCGCGUAGCUACCUUAGAUGUUUUCUUUUUUUUCUUUAUCUUGGAGAGGGAAACAGAGGGACAGGGAGUCCGUUCCUCUCCGACUAAAAUUAUGGCCUUGCUCUUCACAGCGAAUGUUUGCAAGAGAAAGAAUCUUCCAUCGAUAACUGAGCUAGAGGAACAACCAACUCAGAUGCCCCAGAUUCCCAUUUUUUGCGAUCUCCCAGAAGUGGCUGGUCACCUUGUUGUUCCUUACCAUCUUCAGAUCCAGCUGAUUCAGAGAUUCCUGGACAGCAGUUAUUACAUGUUCAUCCUUUAAGUCCAAGAAGCAUGAAACAGAAAGUAGAAGAACAUGUCAGAAAAAAAAUUAUCUUGAGAAUAGUAAUAGACAUAAUAAAACCUUUCCAAUGACAGCUGCAGGUAGACUCAAAUAGAAUGCUUGAUUUUUCUGUUUUAUUCUGUCCCAAAGACAGAAUUUCAAGGGCGCCUUCCAUCUUUGAACCAAUCACUAUCUGAAAGUGAUGAGCAAAUGAAUCACUCAAUUUAAAUAGACAAAUGAGAUUUCAGAACACGAAAUAUGUAAAGUCAGAGAUGACCUCUACAGCAAGAUGCCACCGAAUUCCUAUAUUACAAAUGAGUAACUCUACAAGAGAACCAAAAAAGUGGCAAGCACAGAGUCAAGGAUAAUUUGUGAAGAAAAAACAGAAGGAAGAAGAGAAAACAUAAGUGAUAUUUAAAUAAGCAAACUACAUAUUGAAGGCAAAAAUGUAGAACUCAUAAGCUGUGUAGAAGGCUUGUAUUGUCAAUUUCCAAUUACUCUGUGUGCUAUUUUUUACUGUUAUAGUCACUAUCUUGCAUUACUGUGAGACAAACUGUCCACGUAGAAAAAAUAUGCUAAUGAUUUUAGUAUUUGUCCAAACAUGAUUUAUUUUUCCAGCUAUCAUCUGACAUCUUUCAGUGUAUUACAUUUUAUAUAUACUAUUUAUUGUAAGUUUCACUCUAUUCCCAUAGUCAUAGCCUUCAGGGCUGAAUACAGUAUGAAGUACUACACUACAUUGAAAUUUAAAAACAGCUUAGGUAACAGUACAAAAGCUAGCAUUCAAAUUAACACAGAUCUCAUUAAAAAUUUAAAUUGUACAAGGUUACACACACCUGCUCAGUUUCACAAUUGUAACAUAAAGCAGUUGAGAGAAACAUAAGUAUUUACAAUAUCAGGACUGAGAGUAUGCAAAAUAGAAAUUAAGAUGCUCUUUUUAGACAACAAGAAGAGAGCACUAACAGAUUCAAGAAUCUUAAGCUUUGUCUUCUCUGUAAUAUUCAGCACAUUGAAGCGCACUGAAAACAAUCAGUCAUUAAUAUAACAUAACCCUAUAAUUCAAAAUUUAUCUGCUCACUUCCACCAAGUAACCAACUCAUUAACUCCUCUCUUCAAGAGGCUGAUGAAAAUGCUGGAAGUAGGUGACUUCUUCGACUAAACAUAACUGCCCUGAUCAAAAUGGAAACUGCAGCCUAGGGUUUGUCAUGAGCUAUUUUGUUCAAAACACAAAUUUCAGUUUCAGAGUACAGAUGUGUUUCAACAGCUUCCAAGCUUUGGUUUCCUUCUACCUUUUUUUCUCUUUUUUUUUUCCUAAUUAGAAGCAACAAAUGUCCUUAACAAUUUUUUUCUACCUAACAUAUAUAUUUUCUCUAUAUUCUCUUUCCAAUCAGUAUCUAUUUCCUUUUCAUUCCUUUUACCCUCUUCACAAAAGU
Molecule: long non-coding RNA, 1827 nt
Organism: Prinia subflava (tawny-flanked prinia)
Lineage: Eukaryota; Metazoa; Chordata; Aves; Passeriformes; Cisticolidae
Exons: 3
Source: RefSeq, a predicted model, not a curated record